GCCGACGUAGCUCAGCUGGUAGAGCACCCGAUUUGUAAUCGGGCGGUCGCGAGUUCGAGUCUCGCCGUCGGCUC
This 74-nucleotide transfer RNA is filed under the name compost metagenome. RNAcentral's name for it is "tRNA-Thr". It matches the Rfam family "tRNA". From Rfam's summary of the family: Transfer RNA (tRNA) molecules are approximately 80 nucleotides in length. The record is from RNAcentral.